Xyrauchen texanus (razorback sucker) is the source of this 1788-nucleotide long non-coding RNA. RefSeq lists it as uncharacterized. The transcript has 3 exons. The record is from RefSeq and is a predicted model, not a curated record. NCBI's taxonomy places the organism in Eukaryota, Metazoa, Chordata, Actinopteri, Cypriniformes, Catostomidae.
UUUGUUUUGGGGUCCUUCUUUGCUGAUCCUCACCAUUCGCACAUCACUAGUGUUUUUUAUUUAUUAUUUUCACUAUUUAAUUUAAAAUAAUCAGUUUUUUUCUUCUUCAUCGAGUUUUUGAAAAUCAGCAGCGAUGAAUCUGGAGUUGCUUGGAGGCGGAUGGCACUCUAGACUGCAUCAGUAUGGCUCUUACUUGCACAUUUAACCACUGGGGGACGCUGUUGGCCGUCGGCUGUAAUGACGGGCGAAUCGUCAUCUGGAACUUUGACGCGUGGCAUCGCCAAAAUGAUGAGCGCCCAGAGUCUGUUCGCUCAGUUGGAGUAGAGACGGACACAAGCUCGUGAGCGCCUCCACAGAUAACACCGUCUCUCAGUGGGACGUCCUGACGGGAGAUUGUGACCAACGAUUCUGAUUCCCGUCACCCAUCCUCAAACUGCAGUGCCAUCUCAGAGACAUGUGGGUCUUAAUUAUUUUGGUUAAUUGAAGGCCUUACAAUGCCAGUGCCUAGCGUGAAGCCUCCACACGUGCUACGUCUCCACGGUAACACGCUCAACAAGUCACGUGGUAAAAUGCGCGGAUUGACGGUCUCAGACGCGGAGGCAACUGAUAUUCGUCCUCCGACACCCGGAUUGAGGCGAGUCACUACGCCACCACGAGGACUUGAGCGCACUUAGUAGAUCCUCGUGGUGGCGCGGUUACUUGAGGAGGUUACCCCAUGUGACUCUACCCUCCCUAGAAACCGGGCCAAUUUGGUUGCUUAGGAGACACGGCUGGAGUUACUCGGCACGUCCUGGAAUCAAACUCGCAACUCUGAGCGUCAAUACUCACUGUGAAUUCUGUUUUAAGUACAUUGAUAAUGUUUUUCAGGAAGUCUCAUCGGCAUACAAGCAGCCUGAAGUGCAGGGUUUUGACUGAAGCUGAAAGAAAACGGCGCCCUCUGUCUGUGUGGAUGAACAUCGCCACCGUUAUGAACUGUAAAGACUGAAUUUGUGUUGCAUUAUUUCUGAAGGAUGUUACAGCUCGAUGAUGCUGCAGUUGGAAGUCGACUGUGUGAUUUUUCAUGCAUAUUAAAUCAGUCAACAUUUUGAUAGAUUUAUGCGCAAAGCAAAACUUAAUUCAAGAUAUGUUCUUAUGCAUGGGCGCUGAAUAUGCGGGGGACGUGCCCCCUCACUUUUGAAGUGAUUGCUACGCCCCUGUUCUUAAGUCAUUGUAUCUUGUUUGAGAUGUUUUUUCUACUGAAAACAGAAAGACUGAUUAAGAAAUGUUUCUCCUUUACAGUGUCAAGAGCAGUCCAGGAAUAAAAUGAUGGAAAUACAAUUCUCCAGGUUGUGUAGUGCACUAACAGUGUCUGUCCAGCAGGGGUCGUCGCUGAUCUAAACAAUUAGACAUUCGUAUCAUUUAGCAUUUUCUGCUGUUGGAUUCCAUUUUGUGUUUUAUUGUGUUAAGAACAUCUAAAGUUUCCAGUUCCUCUGUGAAGAAUUGUUCCUCAUACUGAGUACUGAUAUGAAAUCUGUCUAUCUGUUUGUCAGUCUGAGUUUAACCCUUGUGCGACAUUUGGGACAUUUUUGUCUUUUCGAUCAUUUUGGCUGUUAAUGCCAACGGCAUACAUUUAUUGGACUCUGGGUAUCUCAGCGAGUAUUGACGCUGACUCUCACACCUGGAGUCGCGAGUUUGAAUUCAGGGUGUGCUGAGUGACUCCAGUCAGGUCUCCUAAGCAACCAAAUUGGUCCGGUUGCUAGGGAGGGUAGAGUCACAUGGGGUAACCAAAUUGGUCCGGUUGCUAGGGAG